Misgurnus anguillicaudatus (oriental weatherfish) is the source of this 866-nucleotide non-coding RNA. The record is from RefSeq and is a predicted model, not a curated record. Lineage: Eukaryota; Metazoa; Chordata; Actinopteri; Cypriniformes; Cobitidae.
AUGCAACCACAAGUUGUCGAAUGAAAGAUGCUUGUUUUAUCGUUUUCCGUCCGAUGUUACCCAGCGGAGACUCUGGGUUUGUGCCGUAAGGUAAGCUCACACAAAGAUGAUUUCCAUGUGAAUACCGUAUUUGGGUGAUUCUUCAACUAGGGGCACUUUUAGCCUUGUGAAUUUGAAAUUAAAAAACUUGCUCAAAAGUCAUGUAACACAGUCUGAUAAGUUUAAACAAUUUAGUUCCUGUCUCCGCCUCCCAAAAUGUCUAGUGUAAUCGGAUUGGUCAGAUGACUACUCAACUGUUAUUGGUCACCUGGGUUCGGCGUGUGUUUGAAAGGUUACGCCCCUGACUACGCGUGGGUUGACACCAGUUCUGACUGAGAGUCACAGCCUCAGAGGCAACGUAAACAAGCGUUAUAUCUAUAAACGAUGGUGUCUGUACUGCCUUACCACUUCGAGCUCGAUCCAGAGAGUUCAGAAGGCCGUUACGAUAUAAACGAUCUCCGUCAAUGAAUGCAAUUGGAUUUAACUUUUUUAGGUGUCCUUAGCUCUGCCAGAAUGCUAAACGAAGACGAAAAUGUGUUGCAAAGACAUCCAAAAGGUUUUAAGGAGAAUGCAACAGGUUCCAGGGCCUCUUACCUGCGUGAUUCAUCAUCCAGGUUUUGCACAAAUUGUCUAAAUCCCUACACACAGAACAUUUAUUGUACCGACUAUAAGCCUUUGAGGCGCAUGACUAGAAUAUGCUUGGAGCUUCCUGAUCGGAAUGUUGGCUUCCGACGACCCCUGCACUGAAGAUGGCAUGCAAUCACGUCCUCCUUUGAAGGUCUCUUAAACUGUGAUGCCAGGUCCAUUGGAAUCGGGGUUUCCUUCAG